This 795-nucleotide ribosomal RNA is filed under the name uncultured bacterium. RNAcentral's name for it is "bacterial SSU rRNA". It matches the Rfam family "Bacterial small subunit ribosomal RNA", at positions 8 to 796 of the family's 1533-position model. The record is from RNAcentral.
AGAGUUUGAUCAUGGCUCAGGAUGAACGCUAGCGGCAGGCUUAAUACAUGCAAGUCGAGGGGCAGCAGGUCCCGCAAGGGAUGCUGGCGACCGGCAAACGGGUGCGGAACACGUACACAACCUUCCUUAAAGUGGGGAAUAGCCCGGGGAAACCCGGAUUAAUACCCCGUAACAUAGUGAAGUGGCAUCACUUUAUUAUUAUAGCAGCAAUGCGCUUUUAGAUGGGUGUGCGACUGAUUAGGCAGUUGGCGGGGUAACGGCCCACCAAACCUACGAUCAGUAACUGGUGUGAGAGCACGACCAGUCACACGGGCACUGAGACACGGGCCCGACUCCUACGGGAGGCAGCAGUAAGGAAUAUUGGUCAAUGGACGCAAGUCUGAACCAGCCAUGCCGCGUGGAGGAUGAAGGUCCUCUGGAUUGUAAACUUCUUUUAUCUGGGAAGAAACCCACGAAUUCUUUUGUGGUUGACGGUACCAGAUGAAUAAGCACCGGCUAACUCCGUGCCAGCAGCCGCGGUAAUACGGAGGGUGCAAGCGUUAUCCGGAUUCACUGGGUUUAAAGGGUGCGUAGGUGGGUUGGUAAGUCAGUGGUGAAAUCUCCAGGCUUAACUUGGAAACUGCCAUUGAUACUAUCAAUCUUGAAUACCGUGGAGGUCAGCGGAAUAUGUCAUGUAGCGGUGAAAUGCUUAGAUAUGACAUAGAACACCAAUUGCGAAGGCAGCUGGCUACACGAAUAUUGACACUGAUGCACGAAAGCGUGGGGAUCAAACAGGAUUAGAUACCCUAGUAGUCC